GUUAAAAGAAAGGAGAUAGCAAAUACCUGGGUUUUUUUCUUAGAGAGUCAUCAACUUGUGCUGUUGUUUCAAGGCUUAUUCUGUAGGCAUUUAGUUCUUCUGCACAAGAAGCAAGAUGACGCUUGACGAUGGAGCUAGACCCUUCAUCUACAGAACCAUUCAUUGCCACGGUAAGAGCAAUAUGAGCUAAAUCACUAUAUCGGACGCUUGAAGAUUCAUUGCAGUCAGAAAGUAUUGGAGCCCCUGAACUGUCUGUUAUAAAACCAUCUUUGGCAUGCGUAGACCACCUUUUUAGAAAAUACUGCGACGGAAUUUCCAAAAUUCUUCUUGAAAGAAGAACUCUCAGAGCGUGCACACAUAAAAUACCCGUAAACUUGAAACCAUUGCAACUGCUUUCUACUGUAUUCUCUUUUUUAUUGAACCAUACUUUCCGUUCUUUGUCAUUUUUUAACGAACUCACAAUCUCAACCUUAUGAACUGCAAUCUCAUCAUUCUCAUCUUCAAUUUUGUCAAGAUAACAACCAAAUUUUUUUAACUGUUUUUGAAAUAUACUGAAAACCUUCCGAGUAUACAUCUUCGCUGCCUCUCUUUCAAAACGCAAGAGAGAAAUAAAUACAGGUUUAGAAUGCUUACUUUGGUAAUCAGCUUGUAACUCUUUCUCCCUCCAGUCCAUCACCGCUUUCUUAUAUUGCAAUAUAAAAUCAUUAAUGCAUAGGGUGCGAUUUACAUAACCCUUGACAAAACUGUUCACAUUUUCACUCCUUUGAGUUGUUGUCAUGCCAGCGCAAAAAUAUUCUCUUCCAUACACAGGAGCCCAUUUUUCUCGUAAGGCAUACAGUUUUAUCAACCAAUCAUAGUCAGUAAGAGAAUAUUUUGUGAGCAUCGAUGUCCACAUGGAUUCAAAUUCUUCUUCAGUUUCAGCACUAUAAAGACAUUCCGCGUGUAAAGUCUUCAUUGGCUGCAUAAACAUGAGACAGAUGCCUUGCCGCAUUCUGAAAAAUAUGCCAUAAGCAUAAACGAUGGUGUGUGUCUGGCAUUACCUCUUUUACAGCAUUGCCAAUCGCUUGUGCCUGAUCGGUAAAUAUGGUCUUUGGAUGCUUUCCCGACAUUGCACUUAAAAAUGAUUGAAAAGCCCACACAAAUGAUUCAGCAGAUUCAUCGACAAGUAAGGCCAUCCCGAAUAAGACAGACAUCCCGUGGUGAUUCACACCUACAAAUGGAGCACAAGGCAUACCAUACUUAUUAGUACGAAAUGUGGUGUCGAAACAAACAACAUCAAACCCAUAAUCUAUCUUUGAUCUAGCAUCUGCCCAAAAUAGAUUACAAGCUCUGUUAUCAUUGCCAACUUGUACUUCAUAAGAAAAUGCUGGGUUCUCUUUUUUCAUAGCUUUAAAGUAGUUCAGAGCAACUUGAGCAUCA
Papaver somniferum (opium poppy) is the source of this 1419-nucleotide long non-coding RNA. RefSeq lists it as uncharacterized. NCBI's taxonomy places the organism in Eukaryota, Viridiplantae, Streptophyta, Magnoliopsida, Ranunculales, Papaveraceae. The record is from RefSeq and is a predicted model, not a curated record. The transcript has 2 exons.